GCGGGGAGGGGCGGAUGCAGCUAUUUCCCCUUCGGCUCUUGGAACGACCAAGAGCCUGUGAAGUGGAUGAGCAGGCAAGUUUGUGGAGGCUGUUUUCUGACCAUGAUGCUGUUUCUGCUCCUGGAGGUCUGCUUCACCAUUGCUCAUCAAGAGGAAUCCAGUCUCAUAUGCAUGGAUAUGCAAAAAGUCCUGACUUCUGUAGAAGCACAGCCUGUUUCAGGUGGCCUUCAGCUUCAGCCUCGAUUCCCAACAACAGCUGGACCAGCAGGACAGCAGCAGUAUGAAAACACAGGCAGCUAUACCAACACUCCCAUGCUGGGGAGCCACUCAGCUCAUUCUUGCACUGCAAAAUCCUUCUAAAAAUAUUUUGAAUGGCUCUGAAAUUAUUUCUCCCAGCAGUGGGACAAACUGAUGUGGAGCAGACCAGAGUGACACAUUAAAGCAAGAGCACAACAAGAUUCUGUUCACAGCUUACUUGGGGAAGGAGAGUACAGGACACAGAAUUAAUCCUCAUUCUGAUGUUUAAACAUUUUUUUAGCUCUUUCAAUUUAACCAUCCAAAAUAAACUCCCUGAAAUAUGAAGUAUUAAAUAACCCUCCUUCCCCUUCCCUUAUAUGCAGUGUCUUUACAGGACUUUAAGAGGGAAGCUUAACUUGCAUGGUUCCCUGCUGCUGCUGUUUUUGGGAAAAGCAAGAUAUGGAAUGGUGGGAAGAGGGAAUUAAGGGAAGAAGAACCGCAA
Long non-coding RNA from Onychostruthus taczanowskii (white-rumped snowfinch), 739 nucleotides. RefSeq lists it as uncharacterized. The record is from RefSeq and is a predicted model, not a curated record. Lineage: Eukaryota; Metazoa; Chordata; Aves; Passeriformes; Passeridae. The transcript has 3 exons.